UAUACGUCUAACUAAUUUACUGGGUGAGCUGGUUGAAUCAUCGUCUGGGCUCAUAUGACACCUUUUUGGUGGUCGCAGUGCAGGUGUGGCAAUCAUCAGCUUUACAUGAGUUGAAGUGACUUUUACAGGAGUUCCUUGAAUGGUACCAGUUCCUACGAGAGAACAGACUUCAUUCUUAGUGGAAUCUCUCUCUUUAAUUGGAGUUACAGGUGGGUGAGAGUCUGCCAAACUAGCUUGAUA
Molecule: long non-coding RNA, 240 nt
Filed under: Actinidia chinensis (golden kiwifruit)
Lineage: Eukaryota; Viridiplantae; Streptophyta; Magnoliopsida; Ericales; Actinidiaceae
Description: long non-coding RNA (ACHI_LNC003595)
Source: RNAcentral